RNAcentral lists this ribosomal RNA (274 nucleotides) under uncultured bacterium. RNAcentral's name for it is "partial 16S ribosomal RNA". It matches the Rfam family "Bacterial small subunit ribosomal RNA", at positions 523 to 796 of the family's 1533-position model. The record is from RNAcentral.
AUACGGAGGGUGCAAGCGUUAUUCGGAAUCACUGGGCGUAAAGGACGCGUAGGCGGGUUGGCAAGUCAGAUGUGAAAUCCUACAGCUUAACUGUAGAACUGCAUUUGAAACUGCUAACCUAGAGUAUGGGAGGGGGAGAUGGAAUUAGUGGUGUAGGGGUAAAAUCCGUAGAUAUCACUAGGAAUACCGAAAGCGAAGACGAUCUCCUGGAACAUAACUGACGCUAAGGCGUGAAAGCGUGGGGAGCAAACAGGAUUAGAAACCCUAGUAGUCC